GUCCAUUGACAAAUGCUGUUUUCAGGGGAAUUCCAGUGUCUUUGUCAAGAUCUUCACUUGUAUUCAGACCAGAAUGUUCCGUCCAUAUUUGUCUGAAGCGUUCUUCAAACUCUGCAACACUUUCUCCAGUUUUCUGCAUGCAUGAGGUAAUUCUUGCCCAAUUGACCUCUGCAGGUUUCAGUUCAAACAAGAAGUUUUUUAUGGCUUCCCAUCCAUCCUCUAUGUUUUCUUGUGAUUCACCAAUCCUUCUUUCAACACUUUCUGUGAGUCUCUUUUGGUCACUGUCUCUUAGGGUGACAUUAAGAAUCAUCACACCGUCUAGUGGAUGUAAAAUGUAGAUUUUCUGCAGUCGUUGAAGAAACUGCCAAACCUUUCGUGGUUGUUUGUAUACAUCUGGCAGCUCUUUUGACCAUUUGUCAACUUGCUCUGGAGUAGCUGGAUGGUAUGUCCUGUAUGGAACAUACUUCUUUACCACUUUUGUCACAGUGCGAGUUCGUCUCUCUCCAUUGUCUUCAUAGCCCUCCUCAUUGUCAAUUUCAACGUUAGUCCUUCUGUGUUUGACAAUCACAGGAGCUAAUCUAAUCUUUGAGUUCACUGGGUCAUGAACACAGGUGUUGAUGGAAAGAUCAGCCUCACUGUCAACAAAGCUGCUUGAAGAUCUUGAUUCCAGCUGUUUAGAGAUCAAAGUCAAUAGUUUGUUGUUUUCCUUUUCCAGUCUUUCUUUAUCCUUCUUUAAGUUUUGCAAUUGUUCAGCCAGUGCUCGAACUUUAGCUUUCUCCGCUUUGUUCUCACGUUCCAAUCUGUCAAUCUCACACUUAUGCUCAUGUUGAAGAAUUUGCUUAACCAAAAUCACAGACAAUCCAUCCUUCUUGGUGGUUGUGCAUAAGCGCUGUGUCUUUCCAUAAGCCCUUUUAAUGUCCGGCAAUGCCCAUAAUCCACU
Danio rerio (zebrafish) is the source of this 940-nucleotide non-coding RNA. The record is from Ensembl. Lineage: Eukaryota; Metazoa; Chordata; Actinopteri; Cypriniformes; Danionidae.